GACGAACGCUGGCGGCGUGCUUAACACAUGCAAGUCGAACGGCAAGGCCCUGCUUUUGUGGGGUGCUCGGGUGGCGAACGGGUGAGUAACACGUGAGUAACCUGCCCUUGACUUUGGGAUAACUUAAGGAAACUGGGGCUAAUCCCGGAUAGGAUAUCGUGCUGCAGGGUGGGGGUUGGAAAGUUGCGGCGGGCGGGGAUGGACUGGCGGCUUAUCAGCUUGUUGGUGGGGUAGUGGCUUACCCAGGCUUUGACGGGUCGCCGGCCUGAGAGCGUGACCGGCCACAUGGGGCCUAAGAUACGGCCCAGACGCCAACGGGAGGCAGCAGGGGGGAAUAUGGCACAAUGGGCGGAAGUCGGAUGCAGCAACGCUGCGGGCGGGAUGACGGUCUUUGGGGUGUAAACCGCUUUCGCCUGUGACGAAGCGGGAGUGACGGUAAUGGGUAAAGAAGCACCGGCUAACUACGUG
RNAcentral lists this ribosomal RNA (468 nucleotides) under uncultured bacterium. Its description in RNAcentral is "partial 16S ribosomal RNA". It matches the Rfam family "Bacterial small subunit ribosomal RNA", at positions 28 to 507 of the family's 1533-position model. The record is from RNAcentral.